Wyeomyia smithii (pitcher-plant mosquito) is the source of this 825-nucleotide long non-coding RNA. RefSeq lists it as uncharacterized. NCBI's taxonomy places the organism in Eukaryota, Metazoa, Arthropoda, Insecta, Diptera, Culicidae. The record is from RefSeq and is a predicted model, not a curated record. The transcript is spliced from 3 exons.
GCGGGUGGUGUUUAGGUUGUUUUGUUCAUAUAGCAACCGUUGUCAUUGUGUAUUUUAUUUCCACAAUUUUCAUUUCGCUUUUGAUUUUAGAUUCCGAAACAGGAAAGAACAAGCAGAUAUGUAUUACCGCUUCGGAACCUUCGGCAGGACUCAGGAGGAGCAAUUCCACUCUGCAGAUUGCGAUCAAAUUUGGGUGUCACUUCAGGAUGUGAUAAAUAUCGGCCAAGCUGAACAAUUUAAGCCUAUCGUCCCGGAUAUGUGUCUGGAGCACCUUUGGACAGAAAAUGUAGCUUUUCAAAGGGAUUUCAUGAAAAAACGUCCACUGGGUUUCGACAAGUAGACGUGAUAAAUGACUACCUACUGCUACGAUCGAAGAAAAUCACGACGAUGAGAAUCUAGGGAUCCCUUUCCGAUGUACGAACUAUCCCGCUAAGGACGGUUUCAGUUCAUAUUGCUGAGAAGGAGGAGGAGGAUACAAUCACCGGAAGCGAUCGCAGCGAGCAUACCACUCGAUAUUUCCCACCGUAUCAUCCGUAAUUUAUAUCCGCGAUGUGUUGGAAAUCGAGCCGCCAUCCUUCGUGCCGCGCUAUGUCGAUAGUGGCAAAUUGUGCUUGUCCGAAAUCUGAAACUAUCUGAAACAAAACGGAACCGAAAUCUCCACCACAUGCCUGUUUCAACAAGGAUAAUUGGAAAAUUUUAGAGUGAGUAGAUAUCGGAAGACUGGUCAAGCUAGGCCAAGACCGGUUGCACAGUUCCAGAAAACUCUUAGAUAGGCGAUAGGAUUUCGGCAAUAAUAGAAAAUAAUAAAAUAAAAUUUCAAUUUAU